GAGUUUGAUCCUGGCUCAGGAUGAACGCUGGCGGCGUGCUUAACACAUGCAAGUCGAACGGGAAACCUUUUAUUGAAGCUUCGGCAGAUUUAGCUGGUUUCUAGUGGCGGACGGGUGAGUAACGCGUGGGUAACCUGCCUUAUACAGGGGGACAACAGUUGGAAACGACUGCUAAUACCGCAUAAGCCCACAGCUCGGCAUCGAGCAGAGGGAAAAGGAGCAAUCCGCUUUGAGAUGGCCUCGCGUCCGAUUAGCUAGUUGGUGAGGUAACGGCCCACCAAGGCGACGAUCGGUAGCCGGACUGAGAGGUUGAACGGCCACAUUGGGACUGAGACACGGCCCAGACUCCUACGGGAGGCAGCAGUGGGGAAUAUUGCACAAUGGGGGAAACCCUGAUGCAGCGACGCCGCGUGGAGGAAGAAGGUCUUCGGAUUGUAAACUCCUGUUGUUGAGGAAGAUAAUGACGGUACUCAACAAGGAAGUGACGGCUAACUACGUGCCAGCCGCCGCGGUAAUAC
This 518-nucleotide ribosomal RNA is filed under the name uncultured bacterium. RNAcentral's name for it is "bacterial SSU rRNA". It matches the Rfam family "Bacterial small subunit ribosomal RNA", at positions 9 to 526 of the family's 1533-position model. The record is from RNAcentral.